Triticum aestivum (bread wheat) is the source of this 2500-nucleotide long non-coding RNA. RefSeq lists it as uncharacterized. The transcript has 4 exons. Lineage: Eukaryota; Viridiplantae; Streptophyta; Magnoliopsida; Poales; Poaceae. The record is from RefSeq and is a predicted model, not a curated record.
CUCGCGACCACGCCUCCAGGGCAGUUAUGGCCACCGCCCCACACCUCGCCCCACCUCUUUCCCAGAUCCUCCCCGCCAGCCACCACCCUCGACCUGUGCCUCCGCCGCCGGACCGCCGCGCCCCCGCUCCAGGCGCUCGGGCCGCCCCGUCCACGCGCCGCCCGGGCCGCCGCGCCCUCCCUGCCUUUCCUCACGCUUCCUCCCCCCGCCGCCGCCGCUCCCUCUUCCGCGGGUCGCCGUGCUCCCUCUCUGUAGCCACGGCCACUCGCUCCACCAGACGCUCGAUGCCCAUGUGGCGCUGCUGUCGCACGCGGCGGCAAAGGGUUCCACGGCGGAGACAUGGAAGAAGGAUGGCGGGGGUGGGGCCAUUGCCAUAGAUGAGCGCAGCCCCGAGCAGAUCCGAUUAGGAUCCUUCUCUCCAUCUCACUCUCUUUGUGCCUUCUCCCCUCUCUGCUCUCCCGUCUCUCUCAAUCUGCAGCAAGGCGUCGCGGGCUCGCGGCUGUGACGCCGGCGGCGUAAGGGCCUGCGGCGGCGGUAGACGAUCCAGAUUGAGAAGGUCACAUGAGUUUGCCAGCAGCACCCAUCUGUGUAUGCUCAAUUACCUAUCAGUAAAGAUAUACAUAUCAUUUGGUGGAAUAUGUAAGUAGACCUUCUGUGUAUGCUCGAUUACCUCUUGUAUUGAAUUUUCUGAAAUUUUGGAUCGAUCAACAUGUGAUCAGUGGUCAGAUGUAAAACUUGGCCUUACUAUCAGGUUGCAUGUAAGAGGUACAAUUACUUGAUUAUCAAUGCGUACUUUUCAGAAGCUUCACUAACAAGUGCAAAUAUGUAGUCUGGAACCAUCCCUGAAAAAUUAUUGGUAGCCCAGGUUUAGAAGCAUUUAAAUAUCUUUUCCAAUUGUUGUAAACUCACCAAAGCUCAGGAGCGGAACUCCCUUACCUGGAAGCAUCCUUGCCGAUGAAAGAACACUAUGCUGAAAUAUUUACCUACUAACUAUCAUACUAAGAAAAAACGUCAUUGAUUAGUUCUUAGAUUCUGGAAGGGCCUAUUUGAAUUAUUUAAGAACAAUGCUUCAUACUAAGAAAUUAGGCCGUUCAUAAGAUAUUAUUUCCUGGAAGGAUUUAUUUGAUUGAUAUAAGAUAAAAAAUAUUGCAAGCACCCAAUACUUGUUUUUCCUAAAUCAUUGUACAGACUGCUAAUUCCAGAUUUGAAUAUCCUCCCAGCUGAGGAGCAAUCGUAUCACAAGGAUGCACAUGCAGAACAAGCCCGGUUGUCAAAGGUUCAAAUACUGUGUACUUAAUGAGUUGUAUUUUGUGAAUCCUUAUUACUGUGUUUCAUGAAUCUAGACAAUGAUAAUACUAAUCCAGACUUUGUCGGUAUGGAUGAUGUUGUAGCCGCAAUUGAGCCUCCACCUCCUAUGUUUUUUGAAGGGCUUGGGAAUGACACUAAUAAAGUGGAUGUGCAAGCUCAAACCAACGAGGUUACGAUGUGAUUAAUUUCUUAGAAGUUCAUAUAUGUUCUGCUUCGUGUCAUCUUUAGUGCUUCAAGGGCAAACGGCUAGAUUCAAUUUGGAGCAUCGCGGGAAGGAGCAGGCAGCAGCGCCAAUACACUGAGGGUGGAGCAGCAGAGUCACCUGAUCUACCAGUAUGUCUGAUUGAUGCUGCCCACUGCUCCAUCAGCUUGCAUCCAGCAUCUCUAAAUUAGCAUUAUGUCAGGUUCUCGAUAUAUUUGCAAUGGAUUAAACAAUGGGCCUCUCUUGAUUCACACAUGUUCACAUUUCAAGCUAUUUGAUGCUUGCGAAGCUUUACCACUAAUCCACAUCUUCUUUGCUCAAGUAAUUCAAGGCUGUGCAAUGUGAGAUAAUCAUGUAUGGUGUUACCGAAUGGGCUGGAAAGUUUCUAAAUUAUGAGCUCUGCAUGAUUAAGCGGCGUCGGGACCUGUACUUCAUUUAUUGCAGAGCAAGAAAGGAACAUCAAAGAAGCUGUUAAAAUGGAUGGGAGAAUUUGCUAAAACAUGUUUACCUAUUUUUUUAAAUAUUAAGUGUAUUCUAGAAAGAAAAUAAUUGUAUGUUUCAUGGAGUAACAAAUCAGGAACUGUGCAGGUAUGUGUUCAUCUUGAUGGGAGUUUGUCCGAGAUGCUGGGCGAGGGGAUUGUUUCCGCACUGCAUGUAUCCAAGUGUUUAGGGAUGCCUUUUGCGAACAAAUUUAGUUUUUUUUGAGCGAGCAAAUUGAUACUUUUUUUAUGAAUGUAUUCGAGUGGGUGAAAUACUCCCCAUUUGUCUCGAGAGGUCCUGGUGUGGAAGCUUAGCACUGGGUUUGUCAUUAUUGAGGCAAGAAUAGCUUGAAUAGUUUGCAGUGCGUAAUGCAUCAUGUGUAGAAAAAGAUAGUUAUAUUUGUAUAGAGUAAAUUACAAGGUUUGAGGUAUUUGAAAAAAAAAUACUUUGUUGUACAAUGCGAUCUUUUGUGCUUGUUAUUAUAAGUUGGAGUAAAUUUGUAUUAGUUAA